RNAcentral lists this long non-coding RNA (1026 nucleotides) under Sus scrofa (pig). RNAcentral's name for it is "lncRNA (ENSSSCG00035055814.1)". The record is from RNAcentral. Lineage: Eukaryota; Metazoa; Chordata; Mammalia; Artiodactyla; Suidae.
AUGAAAAUAAGUGUAUCCUCUGAAUUCUCAGCUUUAAAUCCUACAAACAAGUUGAGUAGAGGCAUGGAUCGGUCAAGUUCACCUCUUACACUGAAGUCAGGAAUGUGUGCUAUUAUAAUUGCAGCAUUCCAGGUGAAUACUGUGAUGUCCAGUAAGCCUGGGGCCAUAUCUUUCUGAAAAACAACGGGCUUUGAAAUUUGAGGGUUUGUUUCCGUUUCUCUAAAAUAUAGAGAAUUUAGGAUGAUAGUGUCUGUGCUCUCUCAGAGACAGAAACUAUUAAUGGUGUGAUAGUGAGAUGCACUGUCGAAGAAAGGGGUUCAGCCUGCCUUUGAUGGAAGCACAGCUCUUUUCAGAAAGGUAUUAGUUCUCUUAAUACACAGAAAAAGAGAGUGUGAAGAAGCAAAGUUUCCUUUCCAGAGUAGAGUACAGUGAAUUUAAGUUUCAAAGGGGAAAUCUUAAGCCCUGAGGAGAGGAGGAAAGGCAGCGAGGGAGGGAAGUGGGGCCCAAGGGCUUAGAUAGGACAAUAGUCCGGGAUAAAUCGUUCAAUGCUCUGAGAAAUUGUUCCUUAUGAUUUUUCUAUAUAUAAAGGUUCAUACCAGUCAGCGGAGUCUGAUAGAAAACCCACUGGACUUUAAGUUAGAAGACUGAAUUCUAAGAUUGGACUUGUGACAAAUUGCCUGAUCUGAAGGAAGUCGAUAAGCUUGAAGGUGCCUAUAAAACAGGGAUAGUGACUUGUGCCCCGUCUCUGUCCAGCUGGGUCACUGACAGCCUCGGAGGCAAUGAUGCCAGCUCCUUUGAAGAAGACAGUAUAGGUGGCAUUGCAUUUAAAUACUGGACUUUUCAAUAGAAAACUCUUUUGAAAUGUACCAAAUAAUAACCUUAGGGAAAUGUGACCAUUAUUUACAUUUUUGAUUUGAGAAGUAAAGCAAAGACUGCCAAGCAAUGUCUAGAAAACAAUCUAUUACACUAGACCAUCAGGAAAACCGUAAGAAUAAAUAGUACCACACCAGUUCUGGACUUUUUGAA